This 753-nucleotide long non-coding RNA is filed under the name Sinocyclocheilus grahami. RNAcentral describes it as "lncRNA (ENSSGRG00000025933.1)". Lineage: Eukaryota; Metazoa; Chordata; Actinopteri; Cypriniformes; Cyprinidae. The record is from RNAcentral.
GCGGCAGGUAGAGUUACGAGCGCGAAUCACCUGUCACUCUCGCUCGAGCGCACCUGUUGCAUCGUUCUAGACUUUUUGUCCUCAACUUUUUUUUGUUGUUGUUGUUUUUACAUUUUUGUCUGUAUCAGCAAGGUCCCUUGGCAACCCAAAUCCCGCCGUGUUUGGAGCAAAGUUCACAUCUGUGAGAAAACAGAUUGAGAUGGAGUCUUGAAGAAGCGUUUGCGUUUCUGGAAACGGGAGGAAUUAUCUGCGAAGUGAAGAACGGGACCGUAGAUUCUCUCUGCUGAGGGGUGGAUGUCGUAGAACAUGAAUGCUUUGGGGACCCCAACAAAACCAAGCAAUGGGGUGGCCAGAUCGGACAGCAAGAUCAGUGCCAAAACCCUGUUUGAGCAACGAAAGAAGUACUCAAACUCGAACGUCAUCAUGCAAGAGACGUCGCAAUACCAUGUGCAGGUGAGCGAGAUUCUAAACUACUGAUUCUUUUCAUUCUGUUUCUUCCUUCUAAGCUUGUUGAUUAGCUGAACCUCGCCACUGAGAGAUUGGUUUAAUAUUUAACGUGAUUCAACUGAUGACUUGAUAUCGUAAUAAAGCAGUCAGGUCACUUGAUCACCGCAGAGAUUUGUCAGGGCAGAGUUAACCUCCAUCUAAACAGAUAACGCAAUCUGCGGUCUGAAAUCCACAUUAUACAACACCUAGUUCCAGUCCUUGAAUUUGAUUGGCCGAAAUGCAGUGGUGCAUUUUAUGCAACGCAAC